RNAcentral lists this ribosomal RNA (355 nucleotides) under Escherichia coli. Its description in RNAcentral is "partial 23S ribosomal RNA". It matches the Rfam family "Bacterial large subunit ribosomal RNA", at positions 612 to 968 of the family's 2925-position model. Lineage: Bacteria; Pseudomonadati; Pseudomonadota; Gammaproteobacteria; Enterobacterales; Enterobacteriaceae. The record is from RNAcentral.
AUAAUGGGUCAGCGACUUAUAUUCUGUAGCAAGGUUAACCGAAUAGGGGAGCCGAAGGGAAACCGAGUCUUAACUGGGCGUUAAGUUGCAGGGUAUAGACCCGAAACCCGGUGAUCUAGCCAUGGGCAGGUUGAAGGUUGGGUAACACUAACUGGAGGACCGAACCGACUAAUGUUGAAAAAUUAGCGGAUGACUUGUGGCUGGGGGUGAAAGGCCAAUCAAACCGGGAGAUAGCUGGUUCUCCCCGAAAGCUAUUUAGGUAGCGCCUCGUGAAUUCAUCUCCGGGGGUAGAGCACUGUUUCGGCAAGGGGGUCAUCCCGACUUACCAACCCGAUGCAAACUGCGAAUACCGGAG